RNAcentral lists this long non-coding RNA (831 nucleotides) under Setaria viridis. RNAcentral's name for it is "long non-coding RNA (SVIR_LNC002305)". The record is from RNAcentral. Lineage: Eukaryota; Viridiplantae; Streptophyta; Magnoliopsida; Poales; Poaceae.
CAGGGCACACCACCAGGCAGUAGAAGACAAAUAAUAUUUUGUCUCCGCACUGUUUAGUUGAGGCAUUAGUUAUUUCAUGUUUUAGAUUAGACAUGAAAAAGUAAUUGUGGAGGGACACGGAUGAUAUCCAGAAAAAUAAAGAGAAGUUGAAGUUGGCCAUAUAAUGGAGUUGUUAAUCAAACCCCCUGAAAUCACUGGGACGCGAUGUAGAGGUGGUGGUCACGGGAAUACAUAAUUAGGGCGUCAUGUGCCGUGAACAAACUAAUGAAAAAUCAUGCUUGGCAUGAUGGAAUUGUUGGAAACCUAGUGCAUAUGACUUGAGCACAUGAAUGCGUAGAUAUACUAUAAAUAACUAUAACGAGGGAGAGUCGAGAAAAAUGUGGAAAAGAAGCGUAGCAUGUUUGGGAAAAAGUAGAAGAGACUCAUUUGGUAUGCUACAAAUCUUACUAUUACUAAUUGGAGAUUCCUUUUGAAGCCUUCAUGUGAAGCCACCUAGGAUUCUAGGUAGACAAUCUAGAAAAAGAGAGAAAUCCUAGAAAUUCUCACAAAAAAGCAAAACAUCUGGCCAUCAAUAACUAUACUCAAAUCAUCAUAGCCAUUGGAUCUAUUAUGUUUUCUAAAAAAUUACCCACCUAUCCCUAUGAAAAUAGCCUAGAGUAACCCCCUAAAUCUAUAUCUAAAUUACCCAUCUCCGCCAUUAUCUAAAUAAGCUAAAGUAACCCCUAAUCUUUAUCAAAAUUACCCACUUAUGCCACUAUAAACAAUAUUUAAAAUAACUCCCUAAAUUUUCAACUAAAUUUCCCACCACUAAUACUUAAAAAUAACUUAAAG